GUGGAAGUAGUUUUAAAUAAAACAUUUGCUUUGCAAGUAAAAUAUCUAGAUUAAUAACUCUAGUUUCUACA
Molecule: transfer RNA, 71 nt
Filed under: Florometra sp. BMK-2020
Lineage: Eukaryota; Metazoa; Echinodermata; Crinoidea; Comatulida; Antedonidae
Also listed under: 1 other name
Description: tRNA-Ala
Rfam family: tRNA
About the family: Transfer RNA (tRNA) molecules are approximately 80 nucleotides in length. Their secondary structure includes four short double-helical elements and three loops (D, anti-codon, and T loops).
Source: RNAcentral